AGAAGAAAUCUCGUUUUAAACUUCAAGCUGAGUUAGAUAUGCAACCGCCAAGUAUAAGUAAAAAUCACACUGUUCAUGAACAAGAUGGUCAAAACAUAGAAGGUACCUUGAAUGACCAAAGAGAUGUAGUUUCAAAUCAACUACAUGUUGAUGUGCAAGGUAAUGCCCCACUUGUUAAAAAGUAGAGGCUAUUGUUGCAUAACAUCCAUAGUGAGGAUAUGCUGCUGUACUAUUGUUGUUAUUGCUAUGUUUGGUAUACCACCCUUCAUAUUUAUCU
Zingiber officinale is the source of this 277-nucleotide long non-coding RNA. RefSeq lists it as uncharacterized. Lineage: Eukaryota; Viridiplantae; Streptophyta; Magnoliopsida; Zingiberales; Zingiberaceae. The transcript is spliced from 2 exons. The record is from RefSeq and is a predicted model, not a curated record.